UACCCAAGACCCAAUAUACUAAAACCCACUUACAUUUCCAAACCCAAACCCGGGAGCCCAAUUAACCUACCCAAACUCAUUUACAACUAGACCCAAGCCCGGUUGACCCAUUAAACCCCUACCCUAAAAUCUAACUCAACACCAGCCCAAAUCCUACUAGCCCACUAACCAAAAACCCACCUAAACCCAAGUAGCCCCAAACAGACCUAACUAACCGAUGUUUCUGAAACCCUAACCUGCAGCGCCGCAACCACCCCAACUUGCCUCUGCCACCGGUCACGUCUGCCAUGCCCACCUGCUCCUCCAGCACCGGCCAUACCUGCAGAGCAAAUAAAGCACACAACAUCAACAAAAAAUAUAAAAAACAACAUGUAAAGGCUAUAAAAGCCGAUUGAGAAUUCUGUAAUGGGGGAUUUUUUUUUCUUUUUGAAAAUACAAAGAAAAUUUUCGGCAAAUGAAAAAAUAAGAAAGCAGUGACCAUUAAUAUUCACAAGCAGCAUAGAUUGAGACUAAAACAAUUCAAGAACACAGAAGCAAUAGUGAGUAUUCAAAGGAAAACCAAAGCAAACGGAAAUAAAGGUUACCUUUCUAUUUUUCUUCUAUUUUUUCGAUUUUCAGAUAUAUAUAUACAUAUUUCCUUAUUUUUAUCUAUUAAUAUAAACAUAAAAUAUAUAUUUUAAAAACUAAAAAAAAAACAUUACCACGCGGUGGCCGGCGCCGGCGACGAACAGCGGUCGGCGAUCGGCCGAUGACCGGCCCCCUGGCCGGAUUUCCCCCCUUGGCCGGAGCUCCUUUCCUCUCCCC
Molecule: long non-coding RNA, 804 nt
Filed under: Gossypium barbadense (sea-island cotton)
Lineage: Eukaryota; Viridiplantae; Streptophyta; Magnoliopsida; Malvales; Malvaceae
Description: long non-coding RNA (GBAR_LNC006806)
Source: RNAcentral